UACGGAGGGUGCAAGCGUUGUUCGGAAUCACUGGGCGUAAAGGGCGCGUAGGCGGCCUCAUUAGUCCGAUGUGAAAGCCCGGGGCUCAACCCCGGAAGUGCAUUGGAAACUGUGAGGCUUGAGUUCGGGAGAGGAAGGCAGAAUUCCCGGUGUAGGGUUGAAAUCCGUAGAUAUCGGGAGGAAAACCGGUGGCGAAGGCGGCCUUCUGGAACGAAACUGACGCUGAGGCGCGAAAGCGUGGGGAG
RNAcentral lists this ribosomal RNA (245 nucleotides) under uncultured Deferrisoma sp. RNAcentral's name for it is "partial 16S ribosomal RNA". It matches the Rfam family "Bacterial small subunit ribosomal RNA", at positions 524 to 768 of the family's 1533-position model. Lineage: Bacteria; Pseudomonadati; Thermodesulfobacteriota; Deferrisomatia; Deferrisomatales; Deferrisomataceae. The record is from RNAcentral.